GGGUCCGUCUCCAUCGCGCUCACCGGCGCCAGGGCUGCCUCCAAGCUCGCCAAGCCGGACUCUUCGCAGCUCGGCUUCUUCCUUUGGUGAUAUAGAAGAUGAAAUUGUUUGUUCUUGUAUUCUGUUACAUGGUUUGGUUUUGUUAGCCAGAUUCAGUCUUUCUUUAUCUCAGCUGAGGUUGAUGUGGGUUUAUUGGCAGAUUAUUUACAAAAGAAAUUGUUUGAGGUCAAGAGUUGAUGCCAAAUGUCCUGGAUCAGGACAACUCCUGGGAAACAAGGCGAACGGUAUGUGCGUGCAAGAUUGAAAAUUGUACUAGAUAUGUGUAGUUUGCUCCAGGAUCCUAUAUCAGUGUAUUUGCUUCGUGCAGUUCCCUAUGUCAUCCAUUAUAUUUAUAUAGGGAUAAAUUUCCACGGGUUGCUGUAAGCAAAACUCCCUAUGUACCGGCACUUGUCUCUUUACAGACUGUCCGGGCUUUCUAGAUUAGAAUAUAAUUGUUUUAGAUAAUUUGAAAUAAGUUUUUACGCCAGCUUGCACCUUUAUUAUUUGCAGCCGGGAAGUCUAUUUCUUUUCUUUUUUUUGAUUCAAAACUAUUGGCAUGAAUUGGCCCUUGCAUUUGGUCUGAGCACUGACAAUAAUUCCAACCUGUCAAUUGGGGACAGAUAUGUCCAUCACACCUGUACCUUUUAUUCAGUUUGAGGAGGAAUAAGUAGUCAAUUGGCUGAUUAAUUAUGUUUCAUGUGAUUUGUAUAUGGACGCAGUUGCAACAGUUAGCUGCAUCAACUAUAAUUUUUCUUUCGCUGGCGGGGCAUGCAUCCCGACGAGUUAUACAAUUUAGCUGAUUUAAUUCGUGGCCUAACAAUACUUUUGGUAAUAGUUGUCAACUAAAAAAGGAUCUGCUUUUUCGUAAUGAUGGCCAAAUAAAAGAGGAUCCAAACCCUCACGAGUUUACAUUGUACAAAGCUAUUAUGUGCUGACAAUAUUUUUUCUAAGUUGCUCUCUACAUCUCGGUGUUAUUAGUCUAAAUAUUCUGAUUCCAAAGGAUGUUUUCAAACAUCAGAUCUUUUAAUAAAUUUGAAACAACAUAUCUUUCUAAUUUUGGUUCUGUCUAAAAUGAUGAAAUUCAAUUUUGUUCUACUGCAUAUUAGUUUAAUCAUCUUCACCAGCAGUAUAUAUUGCAGAUAAUUGUGUUGGUUUGGUUUUUAGCAUGUAGGUAUGAUAUGGUAAGCCUCCAGUGAAGGAGGGGCUUAGAAAAAGAGAAACUGUUCUAUUUGAUAUACAAUGUAAUUUGGAAAUUAAUGGCAGAAGGCUCCUAAACUAACAUAUGAUGUUUUGUUUGAAUUUCUCUUUACCGGAUUGUGUUACUUAUGCGCAAUCACCAUACUUGACAAGGGUCCCUGAUUUUAUCACUUCCGUUGACGAGUCUUGUGUCAGCAUCUUGAUGCGAGGUACAACUUCUAGGUGAUCUUCUUCAUGUUUUACGUUGUUGUACUUUUUGCUGCAAUGUGGAUGUACAUAUUCUAGCAGAUAUAUCUUCAUGCUUUACCUUGUUUACCACUGCCCUGAUGUGGAGGUACAGAUUCUAGCUGAUAUAUAUCGUCAUGUUUUACCUUUUACCAACAUCCAAGAUUUUUGUUUCCUCAUUUCUUUCAAUUAGAUAGAAGAUGGGACGUGCUUUGUUGUAGUUUCCUCUUACUUUGACUAAGUAGGACAUUUUUUUGAAAUACCAAAUUGUGGUGUCGCUACCCCUACGCACCACGGUUUUGCAGCACCCUCAGCUAAAGUAAACCAUUCCAAGCCUACCAUACUCGAAACAUGGAAGCAUGCAAACUUCAGAGCAUCUUGGUGUCGCUGGCCACCCGAUCUCUACAACCACCACAAAAUGCUACAGGACCAACCAGGCCGGUGUCCUGACCACUGAAUCAUGUCGCUGUGUGGGCGCCUAGAUCUCCCAUGUGUCUGUCUAAAGCCUGAGGGGCCAACCUCGCUCGAGCGUCGCCAGCCAGCACUCAUCUGCACAUGAACAAAUGGUUGGAUAUAUGUGCCUCCUCCGUCUCUUAUUCCCCGAAACAUAAUUUGAUGAGUAGAGUUUCUAAUCAUUUAUGGCACACUGGCAUAUGAUUAAACUGCACAAGUUAGAUUGACAUUUUGUGGAGAACGGUCGUCGGCUGGGAGCCUCGCCGUCUACCUCCACCAGCCGGCCCACACACCAUUGCUCCCCGCGUGUCGCGCCCCUCCCCGAACCAUCAUGCCUUCUAAUUAGUGUACGUGGUAGUCUGGUAAAAGUGGAGAAUAAUUCGGGUAAUGUCUAUGGAUGUACUACCAGUAUUGCGGCUAACCUGCCUGGCAGUGAGAUGCAUCUAGAUUAGAUCUGAUUACUGAUAUAGAAGAUGAAAUUAAUUAUCUAAAAUUUUCCUUGUACCAUUUUCCAUGAGAUUAAUGUAAUUGGGAAUACCAGUGCUUGUUUGAAUCAUUUAGUUAAAUAAUUUUAUAGAUAAAACUUGUAUUUGUAUGUUUUGGAAUUACUAUUAUCCUGGUAAAAUGACCACAAGUGAAAGGGUUGUAAAGAUUAAUUAUUCUUUGUGGAAGCAUUACUGGUCUAAUUAAUAGAUGUACAUGCAUCAAUAAUGUUGUUGAGCUUUAGUUGAUUCUAUAGUGUUGUACUAUUCGCAAAGUUCUAUUUUGAGAAAAGAAAUAGCAAAUUCAAUAUUGUGGCAGCUAAAUGGCGCACCCGCUGUAGCAAGUGAGUGCCCAUCAAAAUCACCCUGAGCAUAUUUUUGCUGAUUUUCAUGAUUGCUCUUCUGCCAGGAACAAUGUUCCUGGCACUUCGACCACACAACUGUAUGUUCAUGUUCCAGAGUCCUUAUUCAUAGUUAAUUUCAAUCACAAAGUGACAAAUGUCAGUCUAUUAGUUAACAUGUGUAUCUCCGUUUCUUCUAAGUUUCAAUCGACCUACUCUGAAGUUGUUCCUAAGAUAGUGCCUCAAGCAAAGGGAAUGAGCCUCAGUUAGUGCAUCUAGCAAGUUCGCGAUCCUUUGUUGGGAUAAACAUUUGUGCAAGAGCAAUAGUCUCGUCACUAUUGGUUGUUAGUACUGUUGCUUGUUAAUUCUACUUUUUACUUCAGUUCGUAAUGCAAUAUAGUUAUGCUUGACGCACUAUAAGAAGACUGCCAUUUUGCCUUUUGACCUUGGUUUCUUCCUCCAGUAAGUAAAUGCACAUAGUUCUUUUGUAAAUUAGAGCAUACGACUUGUUGAUCGAUCUCUGAGCUCAGUAAUAAUAUUAAGCCUCAAUCUGUUUAUUGUGCACACAAGAUGAGAAAGAAUUGCUACCCAAGAAUAUGUACUUUAUAAACAUUUCAACUGUAAUCUGGAAUAAAAUUAAAUAAAUAAGGAAACAGUAUAUUCAUAUAUCUUUUUUGUACUUUGAUGGUGUCACACCACAAGUUCCGAGAUGGUAAUUGUGCUGCAUAUGUCUGCUCUCUUACUUUGUUUUUCUGAACAGGUAGGUUCUGGAAGAUGUCAUGAAGAAUUUCUUUCAGAGAAUUUGCGUGAGGUGUGUCUAAAUGAUUUUUAUCUUCUGAACAUAUUCUUGUAUGACUAACUGAAUUCAUUUUUUCAAAACGUCGGUACUUUUCCUUUUUCAUUUAUGUUGCUCGAUUGAGUCCACAUGCCUGCCCUUACUGAGUUUGCUCAAGAGUAAGAUAAACUUGAUAUUUAUGUUUGUCGGCAGCAGCGUGACUAGCUGAUCUGUAGCGGCGCGGAAGGUGAGCUUGGCUGCAGGUAGCAGCUCCUUUGGCUGAUCUGCGGCGAUGCAGAAGUUGGGUUGGAAAGAAGCACGACCGGCUGCUCUGAAGUGGGACGUAGGGAGAGCUUCGUAAGAGAUAGGGAGGGAGCUCUAUUGGCCCGUGCAUGACAUCCAACCCAAUGGCAUCAUGCCCUGGUAAGCUUCUUAUCUGUUCCAAUUCUUGCACUUGGUCUUUUUCUUUCUAACCCUAAAAAUAGAGUGUGCCUUGAUUCCUAAUCAUGCUUUAAAAGCUGAUAUCCACCUCGUUUAUCUUGCUACUAGUGGUAAUGUGUGCAAGUAUGAUUUUGUGAUAAUGCCAGAUGUUGUGUGCCUUCUUUAUUCAUGGUACGAGUACUCUAACCUGGCUCGUAUGAUAAUGUAUCACUGCUAUAGAGCACAAACGACGUGUUUUUUAAUUAUAUUUUAGUUGACAUGGAUUUCAUUUAUCUUGUGAAUUGUAUAGUCAGAUCAUGAAUUUUUAUGAUUGAUUGAUUUUCAUGGUCACAGGUAGGCAUGGUUGUGUGGCCACGGGGAAAAUGGAGCAAGUAGCAUGUGAGGAGUUUAACAAAUGGGGACAAGGGACAGUUUAGUUAAUUAAGGCUCUAUGUUAGUUUCAAGUUUUAUCCUUGUUGCGGUAAGAAAUUAUGGUUGGAUUAACCACCAUGUGUUGGAAAUAUGCCCUAGAGGCAAUAAUAAAAGUAUUAUAAUUAUAUUUCCUUGUUCAUGAUAAUUGUUUUUUAUUCAUGCUAUAACUGUAUUAUCCAGAAAUCGUAAUACACGUGUGAAUA
This 4567-nucleotide long non-coding RNA is filed under the name Triticum aestivum (bread wheat). RNAcentral's name for it is "long non-coding RNA (TAES_LNC003954)". Lineage: Eukaryota; Viridiplantae; Streptophyta; Magnoliopsida; Poales; Poaceae. The record is from RNAcentral.